CGACCGGCGCACGGGUGAGUAACGCGUAUGCAACCUGCCCGAUACCGGGGUAUAGCCCAUGGAAACGUGGAUUAACACCCCAUAGUACUUUUAUCCUGCAUGGGAUGUGAGUUAAAUGUUCAAGGUAUCGGAUGGGCAUGCGUCCUAUUAGUUAGUUGGCGGGGUAACAGCCCACCAAGACGAUGAUAGGCAGGGGUUCUGAGAGGAAGGUCCCCCACAUUGGAACUGAGACACGGUCCAA
This 241-nucleotide ribosomal RNA is filed under the name uncultured bacterium. Its description in RNAcentral is "partial 16S ribosomal RNA". It matches the Rfam family "Bacterial small subunit ribosomal RNA", at positions 92 to 334 of the family's 1533-position model. The record is from RNAcentral.